Molecule: long non-coding RNA, 1123 nt
Organism: Ictalurus punctatus (channel catfish)
Lineage: Eukaryota; Metazoa; Chordata; Actinopteri; Siluriformes; Ictaluridae
Source: Ensembl
GUGGUUUUAAUAAUAUUUGUAGAAGUAUUAUCUCCUGACCCCCCUGUUGCUGCUGUGGUUAUUCCUCUGAUUUUUGUAGUUGCUGAAGUUGGAAUACUUGAUGUUAUGGUUCUUAAAGCUCCUUCCGAUGAAGUGAUCAUGACCAGGGGAGUAGUAUUUCCAGAAGCAGAAGCAGAGGUUGCUGAUGAUGUAGAGGUUGUUGAAACUUUGUCAGAUGAUGAAUCUGAUGUAAACUCUGAAGUAGUAUUUUCAGGUGUUAAAACAGUGUUCUCUGAUAAAGUGAAAGCUGUUUCCUCUGUGACUGUUUCUAGUGUAGAGGUGAGUGUAGUGGUUUUAAUAAUAUUUGUAGAAGUAUUAUCUCCUGACCCCCCUGUUGCUGCUGUGGUUAUUCCUCUGAUUUCUGUAGUUGUUCUAACCAUUGGAGUAAUAUUUCUAGGAAUAGAAGGAGCAUUAGUUGUUUCAAAUGAUGUAGUGGUUGUUGAAACUCCUACAAAAGAUGCAGCGUUUGGUGUCUGUUGUUUGGUGGGCGUAUGUUUUUUGGUUGGUGUAUGUUCUUUAGUUGGUGUAUGUUUUUUGUGUAGAGGUGAGAGUAGUGGUUUUAAUAAUAUUUGUAGAAGUAUUAUCUCCUGACCCCCCUGUUGCUGCUGUGGUUAUUCCUCUGAUUUCUGUAGUUGUUCUAACCAUUGGAGUAAUAUUUCCAGGAAUAGAAGGAGCAUUAGUUGUUUCAAAUGAUGUAGUGGUUGUUGAAACUCCUACAAAAGAUGCAGCGUUUGGUGUCUGUUGUUUGGUGGGCGUAUGUUUUUUGGUUGGUGUAUGUUCUUUAGUUGGUGUAUGUUUUUUGGUUGGUGUCUGUUGUUUGGUUGGUGUAUGUUCUUUAGUUGGUGUAUGUUUUUUGGUUGGUGUCUGUUGUUUGGUUGGUGUAUGUUUUUUGGUUGGUGUAUGUUCCUUGGUUGGUGUAUGUUUUUUGGUUGGUGUAUGUUCUUUGGUGGGUGUCUGUUGUUUGGUUGGUGUAUGUUCUUUGGUGGGUGUAUGUUUUUUGGUUGGCGUAUGUUCUUUGGUUGGUGUCUGUUGUUUGGUUGGUGUAUGUUCUUUAGUUGGUGUUUGUACUUUGGUUGGUGUAUGU